AGAUUUUCCUGGCAGGGGCGAUACCAUGAUCACGAAGGUGGUUUUCCCAGGGCGAGGCUCACCCAUUGCACUCCGGAUGUGCUGACCCCUGCGAUUUCCCCAAGUGUGGGAAACUCAACUGCAUAAUUUGUGGUAGUGGGGGAAUGCAUUCGCACUCUCCCCUG
This is a small nuclear RNA of Echinops telfairi (small Madagascar hedgehog), 164 nucleotides long. Its record names the gene U1. It matches the Rfam family "U1 spliceosomal RNA". Rfam says of the family: U1 is a small nuclear RNA (snRNA) component of the spliceosome (involved in pre-mRNA splicing). NCBI's taxonomy places the organism in Eukaryota, Metazoa, Chordata, Mammalia, Afrosoricida, Tenrecidae. The record is from Ensembl.